This 490-nucleotide ribosomal RNA is filed under the name Klebsiella sp. No. 38. RNAcentral's name for it is "bacterial SSU rRNA". It matches the Rfam family "Bacterial small subunit ribosomal RNA", at positions 30 to 510 of the family's 1533-position model. Lineage: Bacteria; Pseudomonadati; Pseudomonadota; Gammaproteobacteria; Enterobacterales; Enterobacteriaceae. The record is from RNAcentral.
AUUGAACGCUGGCGGCAGGCCUAACACAUGCAAGUCGAACGGUAGCACAGAGAGCUUGCUCUCGGGUGACGAGUGGCGGACGGGUGAGUAAUGUCUGGGAAACUGCCUGAUGGAGGGGGAUAACUACUGGAAACGGUAGCUAAUACCGCAUAACGUCGCAAGACCAAAGAGGGGGACCUUCGGGCCUCUUGCCAUCAGAUGUGCCCAGAUGGGAUUAGCUAGUAGGCGGGGUAAUGGCCCACCUAGGCGACGAUCCCUAGCUGGUCUGAGAGGAUGACCAGCCACACUGGAACUGAGACACGGUCCAGACUCCUACGGGAGGCAGCAGUGGGGAAUAUUGCACAAUGGGCGCAAGCCUGAUGCAGCCAUGCCGCGUGUGUGAAGAAGGCCUUCGGGUUGUAAAGCACUUUCAGCGGGGAGGAAGCGGUACGGUUAAUAACCGUGCNGAUUGACGUUACCCGCAGAAGAAGCACCGGCUAACUCCGUGCCA